AUUGAACGCUGGCGGCAGGCCUAACACAUGCAAGUCGAGCGAGCGGCGGACGGGUGCGUAAUGUCUGGGAAACUGCCUGAUGGAGUGGGUUAACCACUGGAAACGGUAGCUAAUACCGCUUACCAUCAGACGUGCCCAGAUGGGUUUAGCUAGUAGGUGGGGUAACGGCUCACCUAGGCGACGAUCCCUAGCUGGUCUGAGAGGAUGGCCAGCCAAACUGGAAAUGAGACCUGGGCCAAGCUCCGACGGGAGGAAGCAGGGGGGAAUAUUUCACAAAGGGCGCAAGCCUGAUGCAGCCAUGCCGCGUGUGUGAAGAAGGCCUUCGGGUUGUAAAGCACUUUCAGCGGGGAGGCGUUACCCGCAGAAGAAGCACCAGCUAACUCCGUGCCAGCAGCCGCGGUAAAUC
Molecule: ribosomal RNA, 406 nt
Filed under: uncultured bacterium
Lineage: Bacteria
Description: partial 16S ribosomal RNA
Rfam family: Bacterial small subunit ribosomal RNA
Source: RNAcentral